GUACGCCAGUAUGUGUGGAGCCGUCCUUGAAAUACCACCCUUGUAGUGUUGAUGUUCUAACGUCGACCCCUAAUCGGGGUUGCGGACAGUGCCUGGUGGGUAGUUUGACUGGGGCGGUCUCCUCCCAAAGAGUAACGGAGGAGCACGAAGGUGGGCUAAUCACGGUUGGACAUCGUGAGGUUAGUGCAAUGGCAUAAGCCCGCUUGACUGCGAGAAUGACAAUUCGAGCAGGUGCGAAAGCAGGUCAUAGUGAUCCGGUGGUUCUGAAUGGAAGGGCCAUCGCUCAACGGAUAAAAGGUACUCCGGGGAUAACAGGCUGAUACCGCCCAAGAGUUCAUAUCGACGGCGGUGUUUGGCACCUCGAUGUCGGCUCAUCACAUCCUGGGGCUGAAGUCGGUCCCAAGGGUAUGGCUGUUCGCCAUUUAAAGUGGUACGCGAGCUGGGUUUAGAACGUCGUGAGACAGUUCGGUCCCUAUCUGCCGUGGGCGUUGGAAGAUUGAAGGGGGCUGCUCCUAGUACGAGAGGACCGGAGUGGACGAACCUCUGGUGUUCGGGUUGUGUCGCCAGACGCAUUGCCCGGUAGCUAAGUUCGGAAUCGAUAACCGCUGAAAGCAUCUAAGCGGGAAGCGAGCCCUGAGAUGAGUCUUCCCUGAUACUUUAAGUAUCCUAAAGGGUUGUCGGAGACUACGACGUUGAUAGGUCAGGUGUGUAAGUGCUGUGAGGCAUUGAGCUAACUGAUACUAAUUGCCCGUGAGGCUUAACCAUACAACAC
RNAcentral lists this ribosomal RNA (772 nucleotides) under Vibrio parahaemolyticus. RNAcentral's name for it is "partial 23S ribosomal RNA". It matches the Rfam family "Bacterial large subunit ribosomal RNA", at positions 2166 to 2925 of the family's 2925-position model. The record is from RNAcentral. Lineage: Bacteria; Pseudomonadati; Pseudomonadota; Gammaproteobacteria; Vibrionales; Vibrionaceae.